UGAUCAUCUCUAAGCAUGUUAAGGUGGCUGCUUUCUGUGUGGAAUGUUGGCUCCUGAAAUUACAACAAAAUUUUCCUCAUGUUUCCUUCCUUCUCCUUUUCCUUAAGGAUCACGCUGUCUUUCACAGGAUGUAAAGCCUCCUGAAAUUGCUAUUCUGUCAGUGUUGCCUCUCUUAAUCCUAAAACAUUUCAUCAUGGAAGUACUGUGGAAGUACAUGGCUUGCUCAGGGGCAGAUGCUGGAGCUCAGGGCCACCAGCGUGACAUAAAGGUGACUGGGCAGAUGUGCCUGGCAUGCCGAGCCACAGAACGGGCAGAAGAUGCAGCAGCUGGGGGCUUGUUUCUUCUUCUGGACCUGGAACUCCAUGGAGUCAGGAGAAAAGUUGUGCUUUUGUCAAAUACAUGUAAGGUCAAUGACUUAGCCAAUGCAGGAUGGAUGGAAAAAUAA
This 445-nucleotide long non-coding RNA is filed under the name Anas platyrhynchos platyrhynchos (common mallard). RNAcentral describes it as "lncRNA (ENSAPLG00000025195.1)". The record is from RNAcentral. Lineage: Eukaryota; Metazoa; Chordata; Aves; Anseriformes; Anatidae.